UACGAAGGGUGCAAGCGUUGUUCGGAAUUAUUGGGCGUAAAGCGCGCGCAGGCGGGAUAGGUAGUCAGAUGUGAAAACUCGAAGCUCAACUUCGAACUUGCGUCUGAAACUCCCAUUCUAGAAUGUCGGAGGGGUAAGGGGAAUUUCGCAUGUAGGGGUAAAAUCCGUAGAGAUGCGAAGGAACACCAGAGGUGAAGACGCCUUACUGGCCGAAUAUUGACGCUGAGGCGCGAAAGCGUGGGGAGCAAACAGG
This 253-nucleotide ribosomal RNA is filed under the name uncultured bacterium. RNAcentral describes it as "partial 16S ribosomal RNA". It matches the Rfam family "Bacterial small subunit ribosomal RNA", at positions 524 to 776 of the family's 1533-position model. The record is from RNAcentral.